UGAUGCCGCGUGAGUGAAGAAGGCCUUUGGGUUGUAAAGCUCUUUUGUAGGGGAAGAUAAUGACUGUACCCUAAGAAUAAGGUCCGGCUAACUUCGUGCCAGCAGCCGCGGUAAUACGAAGGGACCUAGCGUAGUUCGGAAUUACUGGGCGUAAAGCGCGCGUAGGCCGUUGAGUUAGUUAAUUGUGAAAUCCCAAAGCUUAACUUUGGAACUGCAAUUAAAACUGCUCGACUAGAGUUUGAUAGAGGAAAGCGGAAUACAUAGUGUAGAGGUGAAAUUCGUAGAUAUUAUGUAGAACACCAGUUGCGAAGGCGGCUUUCUGGGUCAACACUGACGCUGAGGCGCGAAAGUAUGGGUAGCAAAGAGGAUUAGAUACCCUCGUAGUCCAUACCAUAAACGAUGAUUGCUAGAUGUUGGAAAUUUAUUUUCAGUAUCGCAGCUAACGCAUUAAGCAAUCCGCCUGGGGAGUACGACCGCAAGGUUAAAACUCAAAUGAAUUGACGGGGACCCGCACAAGCGGUGGAGCAUGUGGUUUAAUUCGAAGAUACGCGCAGAACCUUACCAACCCUUGACAUGUCUGUCGCGAGUUUAGGAAACUAGACUUUUCGGUUCGGCCGGACAGAACACAGGUGCUGCAUGGCUGUCGUCAGCUCGUGUCGUGAGA
RNAcentral lists this ribosomal RNA (664 nucleotides) under uncultured bacterium. RNAcentral describes it as "bacterial SSU rRNA". It matches the Rfam family "Bacterial small subunit ribosomal RNA", at positions 392 to 1072 of the family's 1533-position model. The record is from RNAcentral.